UACGUAGGCAGCAAGCGUUGUUCGGAAUUACUGGGCGUAAAGAGUAUGUAGGUGGUGUCCUAAGUUUGGUGUGAAAUCUCCUGGCUCAACUGGGAGGGUGCGCCGAAAACUGGGAUGCUUGAGUGUGGGAGAGGAAAGCGGAAUUCCUGGUGUAGCGGUGAAAUGCGUAGAUAUCAGGAGGAACACCUGUGGUGUAGACGGCUUUCUGGACCAUAACUGACACUGAGAUACGAAAGCGUGGGUAGCAAACAGG
RNAcentral lists this ribosomal RNA (253 nucleotides) under uncultured bacterium. RNAcentral describes it as "partial 16S ribosomal RNA". It matches the Rfam family "Bacterial small subunit ribosomal RNA", at positions 524 to 776 of the family's 1533-position model. The record is from RNAcentral.